This 403-nucleotide ribosomal RNA is filed under the name bacterium. RNAcentral's name for it is "partial 16S ribosomal RNA". It matches the Rfam family "Bacterial small subunit ribosomal RNA", at positions 355 to 776 of the family's 1533-position model. The record is from RNAcentral.
UGGGGAAUAUUGCACAAUGGAGGGAACUCUGAUGCAGCGACGCCGCGUGAACGAAGAAGGCUUUCGAGUCGUAAAGUUCUUUUAUAUGGGAAGAUAAUGACUGUACCAUAAGAAAAAGCCCCGGCUAACUACGUGCCAGCAGCCGCGGUAAUACGUAGGGGGCUAGCGUUGUCCGGAAUCACUGGGCGUAAAGGGUUCGCAGGCGGAAAUGCAAGUCAGGUGUAAAAGGCAGUAGCUUAACUACUGUAAGCAUUUGAAACUGCAUAUCUUGAGAAGAGUAGAGGUAAGUGGAAUUUUUAGUGUAGCGGUGAAAUGCGUAGAUAUUAAAAAGAAUACCGGUGGCGAAGGCGACUUACUGGGCUCAUUCUGACGCUGAGGAACGAAAGCGUGGGUAGCAAACAGG